AGAGUUUGAUCAUGGCUCAGAUUGAACGCUGGCGGCAGGCCUAACACAUGCAAGUCGAACGGUAACAGGAAGCAGCUUGCUGUUUCGCUGACGAGUGGCGGACGGGUGAGUAAUGUCUGGGAAACUGCCUGAUGGAGGGGGAUAACUACUGGAAACGGUAGCUAAUACCGCAUAACGUCGCAAGACCAAAGAGGGGGACCUUCGGGCCUCUUGCCAUCGGAUGUGCCCAGAUGGGAUUAGCUUGUUGGUGGGGUAACGGCUCACCAAGGCGACGAUCCCUAGCUGGUCUGAGAGGAUGACCAGCCACACUGGAACUGAGACACGGUCCAGACUCCUACGGGAGGCAGCAGUGGGGAAUAUUGCACAAUGGGCGCAAGCCUGAUGCAGCCAUGCCGCGUGUAUGAAGAAGGCCUUCGGGUUGUAAAGUACUUUCAGCGGGGAGGAAGGGAGUAAAGUUAAUACCUUUGCUCAUUGACGUUACCCGCAGAAGAAGCACCGGCUAACUCCGUGCCAGCAGCCGCGGUAAUACGGAGGGUGCAAGCGUUAAUCGGAAUUACUGGGCGUAAAGCGCACGCAGGCGGUUUGUUAAGUCAGAUGUGAAAUCCCCGGGCUCAACCUGGGAACUGCAUCUGAUACUGGCAAGCUUGAGUCUCGUAGAGGGGGGUAGAAUUCCAGGUGUAGCGGUGAAAUGCGUAGAGAUCUGGAGGAAUACCGGUGGCGAAGGCGGCCCCCUGGACGAAGACUGACGCUCAGGUGCGAAAGCGUGGGGAGCAAACAGGAUUAGAUACCCUGGUAGUCCACGCCGUAAACGAUGUCGACUUGGAGGUUGUGCCCUUGAGGCGUGGCUUCCGGAGCUAACGCGUUAAGUCGACCGCCUGGGGAGUACGGCCGCAAGGUUAAAACUCAAAUGAAUUGACGGGGGCCCGCACAAGCGGUGGAGCAUGUGGUUUAAUUCGAUGCAACGCGAAGAACCUUACCUGGUCUUGACAUCCACAGAACUUUCCAGAGAUGGAUUGGUGCCUUCGGGAACUGUGAGACAGGUGCUGCAUGGCUGUCGUCAGCUCGUGUUGUGAAAUGUUGGGUUAAGUCCCGCAACGAGCGCAACCCUUAUCCUUUGUUGCCAGCGGUCCGGCCGGGAACUCAAAGGAGACUGCCAGUGAUAAAACUGGAGGAAGGUGGGGAUGACGUCAAGUCAUCAUGGCCCUUACGACCAGGGCUACACACGUGCUACAAUGGCGCAUACAAAGAGAAGCGACCUCGCGAGAGCAAGCGGACCUCAUAAAGUGCGUCGUAGUCCGGAUUGGAGUCUGCAACUCGACUCCAUGAAGUCGGAAUCGCUAGUAAUCGUGGAUCAGAAUGCCACGGUGAAUACGUUCCCGGGCCUUGUACACACCGCCCGUCACACCAUGGGAGUGGGUUGCAAAAGAAGUAGGUAGCUUAACCUUCGGGAGGGCGCUUACCACUUUGUGAUUCAUGACUGGGGUGAAGUCGUAACAAGGUAACCGUAGGGGAACCUGCGGUUGGAUCACCU
RNAcentral lists this ribosomal RNA (1531 nucleotides) under Escherichia coli Envira 8/11. RNAcentral's name for it is "bacterial SSU rRNA". It matches the Rfam family "Bacterial small subunit ribosomal RNA". Lineage: Bacteria; Pseudomonadati; Pseudomonadota; Gammaproteobacteria; Enterobacterales; Enterobacteriaceae. The record is from RNAcentral.